ACUCAAAGGAAUAGACGGGGGCCCGCACAAGCAGCGGAGCAUGUGGUUUAAUUCGAAGCAACGCGAAGAACCUUACCUAGACUUGACAUCCCCUGAAUUACUCGUAACGGAGGAAGCCCUUCGGGGCAGGGAGACAGGUGGUGCAUGGUUGUCGUCAGCUCGUGUCGUGAGAUGUUAGGUUAAGUCCUGCAACGAGCGCAACCCUUAUCAUUAGUUGCUACCAUUCAGUUGAGCACUCUAGUGAGACUGCCCGGGUUAACCGGGAGGAAGGUGGGGAUGACGUCAAAUCAUCAUGCCCCUUAUGUCUAGGGCUACACACGUGCUACAAUGGUGAGUACAACGAGAUGCAAUCCCGCGAGGGGGAGCCAAACUUGAAAACUCAUCUCAGUUCGGAUUGUAGGCUGAAACUCGCCUACAUGAAGCUGGAGUUGCUAGUAAUCGCGAAUCAGCAUGUCGCGGUGAAUACGUUCCCGGGCCUUGUACACACCGCCCGU
Molecule: ribosomal RNA, 494 nt
Filed under: uncultured bacterium
Lineage: Bacteria
Description: bacterial SSU rRNA
Rfam family: Bacterial small subunit ribosomal RNA
Source: RNAcentral